CCUACGGGAGGCUGCAGUGGGGAAUAUUGGACAAUGGGGGGAACCCUGAUCCAGCCAUGCCGCGUGUGUGAAGAAGGCCCUCGGGUUGUAAAGCACUUUCUGUGAGGAAGAACGCCUGGUGGUUAAUACCCAUCAGGAAAGACAUCACUCACAGAAGAAGCACCGGCUAACUCCGUGCCAGCAGCCGCGGUAAUACGGCGGGUGCGAGCGUUAAUCGGAAUUACUGGGCGUAAAGCGCGCGUAGGUGGCUUGAUAAGCCGGUUGUGAAAGCCCCGGGCUCAACCUGGGAACGGCAUCCGGAACUGUCAAGCUAGGGUGCAGGAGAGGAAGGUAGAAUUCCCGGUGUAGCGGUGAAAUGCGUAGAGAUCGGGAGGAAUACCAGUGGCGAAGGCGGCCUUCUGGACUGACACUGACACUGAGGUGCGAAAGCGUGGGUAGCAAACAGGAUUAGAUACCCCAGUAGUC
RNAcentral lists this ribosomal RNA (465 nucleotides) under Vreelandella stevensii. Its description in RNAcentral is "partial 16S ribosomal RNA". It matches the Rfam family "Bacterial small subunit ribosomal RNA", at positions 338 to 795 of the family's 1533-position model. Lineage: Bacteria; Pseudomonadati; Pseudomonadota; Gammaproteobacteria; Oceanospirillales; Halomonadaceae. The record is from RNAcentral.